Molecule: ribosomal RNA, 468 nt
Filed under: uncultured soil bacterium
Lineage: Bacteria
Description: bacterial SSU rRNA
Rfam family: Bacterial small subunit ribosomal RNA
Source: RNAcentral
AGAGUUUGAUCCUGGCUCAGAGCGAACGCUGGCGGCAGGCCUAACACACGCAAGUCGAGCGCCCCGCAAGGGGAGCGGCAGACGGGAGAGUAACACGUGGGAACGUACCCUUCGGUUCGGAACAACCCAGGGAAACUUGGGCUAAUACCGGAUACGUCCGUAAGGAGAAAGAUUUAUCGCCGAAGGAUCGGCCCGCGUCUGAUUAGCUUGUUGGUGAGGUAACGGCUCACCAAGGCGACGAUCAGUAGCUGGUCUGAGAGGAUGAUCAGCCUCACUGGGACUGAGACACGGCCCAGACUCCUACGGGAGGCAGCAGUGGGGAAUAUUGGACAAUGGGCGCAAGCCUGAUCCAGCCAUGCCGCGUGGGUGAUGAAGGCCCUAGGGUUGUAAAGCCCUUUCGGCGGGGAAGAUAAUGACGGUACCCGCAGAAGAAGCCCCGGCUAACUUCGUGCCAGCAGCCGCGGUAAU